AGCCUUCUGAACCCAUGUCGAGAUCUCGUCACACACUAGACCACCAGGACUGACGAGAAUCCCAAGAUGAGUGAAGUG
This is a non-coding RNA of Schistosoma haematobium, 78 nucleotides long. NCBI's taxonomy places the organism in Eukaryota, Metazoa, Platyhelminthes, Trematoda, Strigeidida, Schistosomatidae. The record is from Rfam.